AUUGAACGCUGGCGGCAGGCUUAACACAUGCAAGUCGAGCGGGGUGAUGGUGCUUGCACUAUCACUUAGCGGCGGACGGGUGAGUAAUGCUUAGGAAUCUGCCUAUUAGUGGGGGACAACAUCUCGAAAGGGAUGCUAGUACCGCAUACGUCCUACGGGAGAAAGCAGGGGAUCACUUGUGACCUUGCGCUAAUAGGUGAGCCUACGUCGGAUUAGCUAGUUGGUGGGGUAAAGGCCUACCAAGGCGACGAUCUGUAGCGGGUCUGAGAGGAUGAUCCGCCACACUGGGACUGAGACACGGCCCAGACUCCUACGGGAGGCAGCAGUGGGGAAUAUUGGACAAUGGGGGGAACCCUGAUCCAGCCAUGCCGCGUGUGUGAAGAAGGCCUUAUGGUUGUAAAGCACUUUAAGCGAGGAGGAGGCUCUUUUGGUUAAUACCCAAGAUGAGUGGACGUUACUCGCAGAAUAAGCACCGGCUAACUCUGUGCCAGCAGCCGCGGUAA
RNAcentral lists this ribosomal RNA (503 nucleotides) under uncultured bacterium. RNAcentral's name for it is "partial 16S ribosomal RNA". It matches the Rfam family "Bacterial small subunit ribosomal RNA", at positions 30 to 523 of the family's 1533-position model. The record is from RNAcentral.